GGCAGUGUAGCCAAGUGGUUACGGCGUCACGUUUAGGCUCUUAUGAGUUCCGUGAUGGGUCCUCCCGCGCGAGUUCGAAUCUCGUCACUGUCA
Non-coding RNA from Fomitopsis betulina (razor strop fungus), 93 nucleotides. Lineage: Eukaryota; Fungi; Basidiomycota; Agaricomycetes; Polyporales; Fomitopsidaceae. The record is from the annotation of a GenBank genome assembly.